RNAcentral lists this ribosomal RNA (484 nucleotides) under uncultured bacterium. RNAcentral's name for it is "partial 16S ribosomal RNA". It matches the Rfam family "Bacterial small subunit ribosomal RNA", at positions 30 to 507 of the family's 1533-position model. The record is from RNAcentral.
AUUGAACGCUGGCGGCAGGCCUAACACAUGCAAGUCGAGCGGAUGAAGGGAGCUUGCUCCUGGAUUCAGCGGCGGACGGGUGAGUAAUGCCUAGGAAUCUGCCUGGUAGUGGGGGAUAACGUCCGGAAACGGGCGCUAAUACCGCAUACGUCCUGAGGGAGAAAGUGGGGGAUCUUCGGACCUCACGCUAUCAGAUGAGCCUAGGUCGGAUUAGCUAGUUGGUGGGGUAAAGGCCUACCAAGGCGACGAUCCGUAACUGGUCUGAGAGGAUGAUCAGUCACACUGGAACUGAGACACGGUCCAGACUCCUACGGGAGGCAGCAGUGGGGAAUAUUGGACAAUGGGCGGAAGCCUGAUCCAGCCGUGCCGCGUGUGUGAAGAAGGUCUUCGGAUUGUAAAGCACUUUAAGUUGGGAGGAAGGGCAGUAAGUUAAUACCUUGCUGUUUUGACGUUACCAACAGAAUAAGCACCGGCUAACUUCGUG